This 428-nucleotide ribosomal RNA is filed under the name uncultured bacterium. Its description in RNAcentral is "partial 16S ribosomal RNA". It matches the Rfam family "Bacterial small subunit ribosomal RNA", at positions 354 to 796 of the family's 1533-position model. The record is from RNAcentral.
GUGGGGAAUAUUGGGCAAUGGGCGAAAGCCUGACCCAGCAACGCCGCGUGAAGGAAGAAGGCUUUCGGGUUGUAAACUUCUUUUGUCAGGGACGAAAAAAAUGACGGUACCUGACGAAUAAGCCACGGCUAACUACGUGCCAGCAGCCGCGGUAAUACGUAGGUGGCAAGCGUUAUCCGGAUUUACUGGGUGUAAAGGGCGUGUAGGCGGGAAAGCAAGUCAGAUGUGAAAACUAUGGGCUCAACCCAUAGCCUGCAUUUGAAACUGUUUUUCUUGAGUACUGGAGAGGCAGAUGGAAUUCCUAGUGUAGCGGUGAAAUGCGUAGAUAUUAGGAGAAACACCAGUGGCGAAGGCGAUCUGCUGGACAGCAACUGACGCUGAGGCGCGAAAGCGUGGGGAGCAAACAGGAUUAGAAACCCGUGUAGUCC